AAAUGAAGGUGUUUGGAGUUCUCUUGACCGUAGCAAAACUGCGCAAGUGAUCGAUCUUUUUCUCUAUGUGACAAAUAUAUAUAUGUGAAGAAGAAAGAUUCAAGAAAUAUCUCUUUUCGGUUUCCUUGUGAUGUGACCGACAUAUAUUUCCACUUAUAUUAUGUACACUACAAUCAUAAAUUUGUUCUCACAUGUGGAUGUGGUUCCAUGCGAGGGGAGCGACCAAUCACUAUAACUGAUGAUGUUAAUUAUUGGCCCAAAUAGGCCCAAACAUUUCAUAACGUAAGGCCUAUACGUUUGACCCAACA
Molecule: long non-coding RNA, 308 nt
Organism: Arabidopsis thaliana (thale cress)
Lineage: Eukaryota; Viridiplantae; Streptophyta; Magnoliopsida; Brassicales; Brassicaceae
Product: other RNA
Exons: 1
Source: RefSeq